CAGAAGGGUCGUGGUGGCUGCACAGAGCUUAACUAUUGGUAAGAAAACGUCAACAGCGAUGAAACAGGACUGCGUCGUCCGCCGCAGCGCCCGGGAGAAGCUAACUAGCUAGCAAGUUAGCGCUUCAUCCCCGGGUCUCUCCUCCCAUGUGAACUCGACUGACAGUCGCGGGGUCGACUUGGAUACGCGACACCGGGGCGAAGUAAGCGCGAGCCGGCGCCCGAGUCACGCGGACAAAAGUUGGUUGAAGCCACGAACUCACCACUGAGGCACGAGAGCGUGACUAUCACGGAGGCGAGCGGGACCGCAGGGAGCCGGCGGGAGUGACCGAGCGACGCACGCUGGGACGGAGCGUCGGAUGGAGCCAGAGACACUGAGGGAGGGAUCAGCGGAUACCAACGGCAACACAGGGGGACGGCUGGCGCUGAGAACAUGAGAGGAGAAGGUUUCUGUCAAGACAAGCAUCGCUCCCAUAAUGAGCGGGGGAAACUCUCCUUAUUAACUCCAGAAACAGGAGAAAGGGAGGACGAAAAAGCCUAGUAAAUAAUACAUGUUCUUUGAAAUAUACAUGAAAGUCUCCGUCCUGCACUCCAAUUAUAUAAUCCCAAUCCCAGUCAGAGAACCCGCGUUACAUAACGCUCAAGCUGGAAGUCAAAGACCUCGGGGCAUCAUUAUUAUUCUGCUCAAAGCAAACAGCGUCCCCCGUGCCACGCAGCAGCAGCUGUUAGCGUAUUAUAUAAAAACAGAUAAUGGCAAAUCUCUGUGUGGUUGUUUCUUCCGGGCUGCGGGAGCGACGGGGGCCAGACGCCGCUGAUUGCGCCUCGGCACGGGCCGACGCGCAAUCAGCGCGGACGGGAGCGCGUGGCACGUGGCGCGCGGAUGCGGCGGCGCCCGGACUCGUUUGCACGGAGACAAACGCGUGAUUAAGCUCGUGUUUUGAUUUGUCUGGUUGUUGAGAGCCGCUUGUGUUUGAACGGCCGCUAAUAACCCGCUUCCUGUUCCCUGGUUGAAUGUGGAAUGAUCACCGCACGCGGCGGAUCGGAGGGUCGUCUGGGAUCACGGAUGACGAGGCCGACAGUCGAACGGCUUUGAGUCCAUCAAUAGGACACGCUGACCUUCUUCUCACUCAGCGGCAGCUGGAUUUGCGGCAUUAGCCGCAGAGUCUCUCUCAACACCGUCCGAGCAUCCGGACGCACGGUUAAGGCUAAACCCUCGUCGUGAGGCGAGCGUUCGCCGGGAAACGGGCCCACGUGGAAAACGUCUCCGCGCGCGCUCUCAAGGUUAGACCGGAGACGCGAGAGAGCGGCUCCGAAGCAUGAAUAGUGAUGAGGCUGAACUCCCACCGGAUCCGGCUGCUGAUAAGAGCACGGCGGCAAUAUGAUUGGUUUUGUGGUGGAAAAACAAAUCUAAAUAGUAAGUCUGGUUAGAGCUGAACCGCGUCGUCAGGGGGAUUCCCCUAAGUGCCCGGCGCCUUUCCUCACAUUUCCUGGUUGCUCACGCUGUCACGUGCGCAAACGUCCGCUUAAACGCACGUGUGUUUUAGUGAGUCGCUGGUUUGAACUGUGUCCUUUUUGGGCCUGUUCGAUCUCAUCUGUCCCUGGUUUCAGGUUGCAACGCUUCACUUCCAGCUUCUCACACUGUGAUUUGUAGCCUUUGGGCAUUUUUUUUUUUACAGUUUUUCGGAUUGUGUUUAUUCAAAGAGAAUUCAUGUGGCAUUUAUAGCCACAGUGGGACACCGUGUUACAGAGUGUGAGACCAGGAUCCUGCUUUAAAGUGCAACAGGACCUGCGCUGCGUUUUCACUGGGAGCCUUUUUCAACGUGUUGGUUUAAAGACUUUGACAGCGCCGGUCAAAACAGUCCUUCAGCUGAACAUGACGGACGGACGGACGCGCAUCCGUCUCGUCGGUGUCUUUGUACCGAGAGCAGAAGAAGAAAUACGUGCUGCAGUCGAUCCAUGACUGAUUAUUGUUCCAGGCUCUCGGAGCACGAGUGGCUGCCGGCUAUCAGGCGUCAACAUCCAUCAGCCUCCACACACACUUAUGCCCUUGGGCUUCAGUCGCCGUGUGUCAUCAGGACGAGCAGAGAGCCGGUGCCGCACCACCUGACUGCAUCUGCAGCUACAGUACCUGCAUCCACCCGACUACCCCCCCCCCCACUCGGCAGGGAAAGCCUGGGAAGGAGAAUCCCUUUGAAUAAAGUGCAGAGCUGUAACCUGCUCGACUGGGUGGGAUGACAAGCCGACUGCAGAGGUGAAAGCGAGGAGUGAUGGAGACAGGAAGAGAGAGAGGAGCCAUGCCUGCCCUGUUCUGCAGUGUGGGUUUGUGAACAUUGCUGCAUGACAGGGAAAGAGGGGAAUCGCACUGCAGUGGCGGGGCCUCUCCCGCUCUCGUCUGUGGAAGGCGCCGCACAUGCACGGGCAGAAUGAAGGGAGGACGGAGCAGGACAGAGAGGCACAAGGAGGGAGGAUGAAAACACUUUGUUCCUGUCGGCGGCUGCCCCCACGCUGGGCCGGCAGAGAUGCCCAGCAGAGGAGACAAUCUCAAGUUCCACGUGGUCCUGACAAGCUCCUCGUCACUCCGCAGGGAGAGAAACUCCCUCUCCUCCGAGGAAGCUGUAGUGUUACGAAGAUUUCCGACGACGGCUGAGACGAGAGGAGUCUUAAGGUGAUGCAGAGAGGAAGGAGACUCAACCAAAGAACGAGACGGCUGCAGUCAACAGAUGAGUGACAGCAGAGCGCCUAUUUAAACGCACACAGCCGUCACUCACUCAACUUAAACCGCUCCGUCCUGGCAUCGCAGGGACGCUGGAGCCCGUCCCAGAUCACCCGGAGAACCUGGAGAAAACCCACGCACGCACAUGCAGUGACCACUAAACCACCGCCCCGCCCACACAACACACACGCACGCA
This is a long non-coding RNA of Betta splendens (Siamese fighting fish), 2908 nucleotides long. RefSeq lists it as uncharacterized. The transcript has 7 exons. The record is from RefSeq and is a predicted model, not a curated record. NCBI's taxonomy places the organism in Eukaryota, Metazoa, Chordata, Actinopteri, Anabantiformes, Osphronemidae.